AUUGAAAUUUUCUGAUACAAGUGAGUCUAGAGAACCUUUACCAUGUAUGGUUACUGGCGCCAAAGAAGCCUUAGUGAUUCCUGGACAGAAUCGCAGAAUGUCAAUGAAGGAGAGAGCAGCUUGGCUACCACACAAAUGAAUCCACCCAAACGUCGCCAAGUGGAGCAGGGUACCAAUAUAGGUGCAAAAACACCCUCAAUUCCAGGAGCUCCACACUGAAUUCAGGCCAGUCCCUGGAACCUCCCCAGCAGGAUUCCAGCAAUGAGGAGCUCAUCAUAGUCCUAGAACAAGGGACAGAAGUGAGGUUGAGCCUGGAAGAGGUCAUCCUCAUCUUGGCCCCAGAGACAGCGCUGCAGCUGACCGUGGAGAACACAGUCCUUGUGAUUGUUCCUGGCAUAUCCUGAGGUCACAAGAUGGCCUGCAGUCCCCUGUGCAGAUCCAGUACAUCAUGCCUUCCGUUGAUGACUUCAGCUUGGAGUGCCAUGCUCAAGAUGGAGACAUCUCAGACAUGAAAGGAGAGAAUGUGCCUCUUUCACCUGCAGAAGAACGGGAGGCAGCACCCCUAUAUCACCAGCCCUUGAUGAUAUCCCCAGCAAACCACAAAGCUGGGAUCAGCCCUUUUCUUCUAGUAACCCCAUUGUGCAUUCCAUGCUGUCUGGCAGCCUUCCCCCAACGCUACCCUCUACCACCCACAUCUAGUCCCGUGGGACACCCUAGACCAGCCAACUCCAGUUUCAGCCUGCAUGGUAUGGAGCUACUGUGCACCUCCUCCCUCAGCCGUAUGCCCCCUUCACCAACUCCUGGUCCCCAGAUCUAUCACAGGGUUCACCAUAGGCCUCCCAGCAGGGCACAGAGAUGUCUCUUUAGGAAGUGAUUUAACCAAGAGUCACCCCCUGCAUUGAUAGGUCAGAGAUUGUCCAAGUCCUUAGUCAGUGCAUUCCCUGAAAUGUGGAGAGAAAGUAAUUCCAAGGACCGCUUGCUUCCCCUUUGCUGUUUCCCAUCAACACCCACUGUCUUCAACAGCAGAGGGCUCCAGAUGCUGCAGGGAGGGGGAGAACCGCAGGGAGUUCAAAUAAAACAUUCACAUUUCACUUCACACACACUGUCCCUUAGACUUUCUCUUCCUAUUUAAGCACAUACAUCCAACCACACUCAAUCGAAUCCCUGACUGCUCCAUGUGAGAGUUCUGCUUCCAGCAUGACGUGGUCUGAAAGUUCAUCUGAAGACAGCUGCUCACUCCCGGGGGCUAAUACUGCCCUUGCAUGCUGAUGUCCUUGUAGUCAUUGGUCUGAUGCCACAAUAAAUAAUUCCUAAGGCUGAUGCUCUAUUUCUGCCCUGAGACUCUCCCCUUUUUCUCCAAGCUGUGCCCCAUUCCUUGUCUUAGUCCAGGUUCCCUACACUCCCCAGGCCAAUGCUUUUGAAUAAAU
Molecule: long non-coding RNA, 1427 nt
Filed under: Pan troglodytes (chimpanzee)
Lineage: Eukaryota; Metazoa; Chordata; Mammalia; Primates; Hominidae
Description: long non-coding RNA NONPTRT016551
Source: RNAcentral